RNAcentral lists this ribosomal RNA (155 nucleotides) under uncultured bacterium. RNAcentral's name for it is "partial 16S ribosomal RNA". It matches the Rfam family "Bacterial small subunit ribosomal RNA", at positions 355 to 507 of the family's 1533-position model. The record is from RNAcentral. RNAcentral also lists the same sequence under 1 other name.
UGAGGAAUAUUGGUCAAUGGGUGCAAGCCUGAACCAGCCAUCCCGCGUGAAGGACGACUGCCCUAUGGGUUGUAAACUUCUUUUGUAUAGGGAUAAACCUACCCUCGUGAGGGUAGCUGAAGGUACUAUACGAAUAAGCACCGGCUAACUCCGUG